GGAAGUAAAAGUCGUAACGAGGUUUCCGUAGGUGAACCUGCGGAAGGAUCAUUAAUGAGUUGUCAUGGGGUUCGAUGCUGGCAGCCAGUUUUUGGAUGCAUGUGCUUGCCCUAACAAUCAUCUUCUUCCAAACACCUGUGCACAUUUUUGAGGGAGUCUUGAGUUGGUUGCCGCUCUUGGGUGAUAUUCUCACAUUCCCUUAAAUCAUUAUACGCUAUUAACAAUGUUGAACGUGCUCUGUGCCGCAAGGCCAUUAAUAUAAUACAACUUUUAACAACGGAUCUCUUGGCUCUC
This 294-nucleotide unclassified non-coding RNA is filed under the name plant metagenome. RNAcentral describes it as "partial contains small subunit ribosomal RNA, internal transcribed spacer 1, and 5.8S ribosomal RNA". The stretch from base 1 to 54 matches the Rfam family "Eukaryotic small subunit ribosomal RNA", at positions 1778 to 1831 of the family's 1831-position model. The record is from RNAcentral.